Molecule: ribosomal RNA, 561 nt
Filed under: Janibacter sp. 20/6B2
Lineage: Bacteria; Bacillati; Actinomycetota; Actinomycetes; Micrococcales; Intrasporangiaceae
Description: bacterial SSU rRNA
Rfam family: Bacterial small subunit ribosomal RNA
Source: RNAcentral
GAGUUUGAUCAUGGCUCAGGACGAACGCUGGCGGCGUGCUUAACACAUGCAAGUCGAACGGUGAAGCUCCAAGCUUGCUUGGGGUGGAUCAGUGGCGAACGGGUGAGUAACACGUGAGCAACCUGCCCCAGACUCCGGAAUAAGCGCUGGAAACGGCGUCUAAUACUGGAUAUGAGAUCAGUCCGCAUGGGCAUGGUCUGGAAAGUUUUUCAGUCUGGAUGGGCUCGCGGCCUAUCAGCUUGUUGGUGAGGUAAUGGCUCACCAAGGCGACGACGGGUAGCCGGCCUGAGAGGGCGACCGGCCACACUGGGACUGAGACACGGCCCAGACUCCUACGGGAGGCAGCAGUGGGGAAUAUUGCACAAUGGGCGAAAGCCUGAUGCAGCGACGCCGCGUGAGGGAUGACGGCCUUCGGGUUGUAAACCUCUUUCAGCAGGGAAGAAGCGAAAGUGACGGUACCUGCAGAAGAAGCACCGGCUAACUACGUGCCAGCAGCCGCGGUAAUACGUAGGGUGCGAGCGUUGUCCGGAAUUAUUGGGCGUAAAGGGCUUGUAGGCGGUU